AAUAACUACUGGAAACGGUAGCUAAUGCUCCAUAAUGUUUAGCUCUCACCUGAGAGCUAAAUCAAAGGCCUUUGGCGCUCAAGGAUGGGGUCGCGUCGGAUUAGCUCGUUGGUGAGGUAACGGCUCACCAAGGCAACAAUCCGUAGCUGGUCUGAGAGGAUGAUCAGCCACACUGGCACUGAGACACGGGCCAGACUCCUACGGGAGGCAGCAGUGGGGAAUCUUAGGCAAUGGGGGAAACCCUGACCUAGCCAUGCCGCGUGGAGGAAGACACCCCUAUGGGGCGUAAACUCCUUUUCUACCGGAAGAAAACCCUGUUUUGCAGGGCGUGACGGUACGGUAGGAAUAAGCACCGGCUAACUCCGUGCCAGCAGCCGCGGUAAUACGGAGGGUGCAAGCGUUGUCCGGAAUCACUGGGCGUAAAGGGUGUGUAGGUGGGAUAGCAAGUCAGAGGUGAAAGCCUGCGGCUUAACCGUAGAAGUGCCUUUGAAACUGCUAUUCUUGAGUCCUAGAGAGGUUGCUGGAAUU
This 528-nucleotide ribosomal RNA is filed under the name Longibacter sp. RNAcentral's name for it is "bacterial SSU rRNA". It matches the Rfam family "Bacterial small subunit ribosomal RNA", at positions 142 to 668 of the family's 1533-position model. The record is from RNAcentral. Lineage: Bacteria; Pseudomonadati; Rhodothermota; Rhodothermia; Rhodothermales; Salisaetaceae.